RNAcentral lists this ribosomal RNA (1664 nucleotides) under Microchloropsis gaditana. RNAcentral's name for it is "eukaryotic LSU rRNA". The stretch from base 752 to 1664 matches the Rfam family "Eukaryotic large subunit ribosomal RNA", at positions 1 to 840 of the family's 3401-position model. Lineage: Eukaryota; Eustigmatophyceae; Eustigmatales; Monodopsidaceae. The record is from RNAcentral.
UGUCGUAACAAGGUUUCCGUAGGUGAACCUGCGGAAGGAUCAUUAUCACUCGAUUCAAACAUCCACUUUGUGAAGACGCAUUAUUUUGUCAGGUGUCGCGAGGCACCAACCCACAUGAUAAAACCAACCAAUCUAUAUGAAAACCAACCAUACAAAAACCGAUCCGACAUGCGAUGCGCGUCUCUCUCUCUCUCGUUUGAGAGAGUGCGAUGUUUGCGUGUUUGGAUGUUGAAAAAGAACCAAAACAACUUUCAGCAAGGGAUGUCUUGGCUCUCGCAACGAUGAAGACCGCAGCGAAAUGCGAAACGUAAUGCGAAUUGCAGAACUCAGUGAAUCAUCGAAUUGUUGAACGCACAUUGCGCUUCUGUUAGGGCAGGAGCAUGCUUGUUUCAGUGCCCGUGUCCCCCCUCCGCGUGGACUUUCUUGUUGAGAGAGAGUGUUGUGCGGGACGAGUGGGCGUCUUCCUGAACCGACGUCGCCCCAAGGGAUGCACUGCGGACUCACGACGACGAGCCGUCCUGAAAGGGAUGGUUCGGCACUUUGUCGGUUGUCGACUAUGACGUGUAUUGCGUCGUGGCGUAGCAGCUUCUGCAAGGAAGAUGUUCGCUGCACCUGCUAUAUGCGUGAUGGCGCCGAUGUGGUGUGAACGUGGUGGUAUGUCGAGCAGAACGGCCGCCUCCUUGUCGUACGACAAGGAUGCAAGAAUCUUGCCGUCCCCUCUCUUUGUGGGACGACAAGAACCAAAAAAAUUGGGUCUGAAAUCAAGCAAGAGUACCCGCUGGAUUUAAGCAUAUAAUUAAGCGGAGGAAAAGAAACCAACCGGGAUUCCCUCAGUAACGGCGAGUGAAGCGGGAAGAGCUCAAGCUAGAAUCUGGCUCUUGUCAUGAGAGUCCGAGUUGUAGUCUAUAGGCCUCGUUCGAGUCGGCGUGUCUUGGAAUAAGUCCGUUGGAAUACGGCGGCAGAGAGGGUGAGACCCCCGUGCUUCCGAGACGCGCUGAGUUUGCGACUUGUGCCUGAGAGUCGGGUUGCUUGGGAGUGCAGCUCUAAGUGGGUGGUGAAUUCCAUCCAAGGCUAAAUACCGGCGAGAGACCGAUAGCGAACAAGUACCGUGAGGGAAAGAUGCAAAGAACUUUGAAAAGAGAGUUAAACAGUACCUGAAAUUGCUGAGAGGGAAUCGGUUGCAUCCAGUCGGCUCGUUUGGAUAGGUGUGAAAAGCUCUUUUCCAAGCGGGCGCGUCAGGGCGGGUUGUGUUCGCGGUUGACCCCCGAGAUCUGUGCGAUCCGGCUUAUUCCGCGGACGUGACCGAGGCAUGAAUCGCGCGCCAUCAGGCAGGCUUGAACGUGAGAGGCAUUCGAAGCUUGGUAGGACUGCUUGCAGUGCUGCUUUGUGAGGAGUCUUGUUGCGUUGUGGCUCUAGCGCGGUCGAGGCCCUGGCCAAAUGGGUGUCACCGUCCCGUCUUGAAACACGGACCAAGGAGUCUAACAUGUAUGCGAGUGUUCGGGUGGCAAACCCUUGCGCGCAAUGAAAGUGAGGGUGUGUAUGCACCGAGGUGGGAGCUCUCCCUUCGGGGAGGGCGCACCAUCGACCGACCAUGUCCCCACGGGGUAAAGGUUCGGGUGAGAGCAAUAUCUGUUGGGACCCGAAAGAUGGUGAACUAUGCGUGA